GACGAACGCUGGCGGCGUGCUUAACACAUGCAAGUCGAACGGAAAGGCCCUGCUUUUGUGGGGUGCUCGAGUGGCGAACGGGUGAGUAACACGUGAGUAACCUGCCCUUGACUUUGGGAUAACUUCAGGAAACUGGGGCUAAUACCGGAUAGGAGCUCCUGCUGCAUGGUGGGGGUUGGAAAGUUUCGGCGGUUGGGGAUGGACUCGCGGCUUAUCAGCUUGUUGGGGGGGUAGUGGCUGACCAAGGCUUUGACGGGGAGCCGGCCUGGGAGGGUGACCGGCCACAUUGGGACUGAGAUGCGGCCCAGACUCCUACGGGAGGCAGCAGUGGGGAAUAUUGCACAAUGGGCGGAAGCCUGAUGCAGCAACGCCGCGUGCGGGAUGACGGCCUUCGGGUUGUAUACCGCUUUCGCCUGUGACGAAGCGUGAGUGACGGUAAUGGGUAAAGAAGCCCCGGCUAACUACGUG
RNAcentral lists this ribosomal RNA (468 nucleotides) under uncultured bacterium. RNAcentral's name for it is "partial 16S ribosomal RNA". It matches the Rfam family "Bacterial small subunit ribosomal RNA", at positions 28 to 507 of the family's 1533-position model. The record is from RNAcentral.